AUGAAGCUUUUUGUGUCAGCAGUCAUGCAUCACCCAUUUCAAGCUACAAAUGACAUGUCCCUCCAAGUGUUGGCAUCUGGAGAUAGAGUUGGUUUAAUCCUGGUGUACUACCAUCUUUCUAUGACAGUGACUGCAAGAAAUUGUAGUCUGUUCAUAGUCUUACCAGCUUCUGUCUGAAAUAAAGGUGAGAGAUUGUUUACA
Molecule: long non-coding RNA, 201 nt
Filed under: Coturnix japonica (Japanese quail)
Lineage: Eukaryota; Metazoa; Chordata; Aves; Galliformes; Phasianidae
Description: lncRNA (ENSCJPG00005005063.1)
Source: RNAcentral